AACGCUGGCGGCAUGCCUUACACAUGCAAGUCGAACGGCAGCAUGGGUGCUUGCACCUGAUGGCGAGUGGCGAACGGGUGAGUAAUGCAUCGGAACGUACCCGGAAGUGGGGGAUAACGUAGCGAAAGUUACGCUAAUACCGCAUAUUCUGUGAGCAGGAAAGCAGGGGAUCGCAAGACCUUGCGCUGAUUGAGCGGCCGAUAUCAGAUUAGCUAGUUGGUGAGGUAAAGGCUCACCAAGGCGACGAUCUGUAGCGGGUCUGAGAGGAUGAUCCGCCACACUGGAACUGAGACACGGUCCAGACUCCUACGGGAGGCAGCAGUGGGGAAUUUUGGACAAUGGGCGCAAGCCUGAUCCAGCCAUGCCGCGUGAGUGAAGAAGGCCUUCGGGUUGUAAAGCUCUUUCGGCCGGGAAGAAAUCGCAUGGGUUAAUACCCUGUGCGGAUGACGGUACCGGCAUAAGAAGCACCGGCUAACUACGUG
Molecule: ribosomal RNA, 482 nt
Filed under: uncultured bacterium
Lineage: Bacteria
Description: bacterial SSU rRNA
Rfam family: Bacterial small subunit ribosomal RNA
Source: RNAcentral